GCAAGUCGAGCGAGAAAGCACUUCGGUGCGAGUACAGCGGCGGACGGGUGAGUAACGCGUGGGAAUAUACCCUUCUCUAAGGAAUAGCCUCUGGAAACGGAGAGUAAUACCUUAUACGCCCUUUGGGGGAAAGAUUUAUCGGAGAAGGAUUAGCCCGCGUUAGAUUAGAUAGUUGGUGGGGUAAUGGCCUACCAAGUCUACGAUCUAUAGCUGGUUUGAGAGGAUGAUC
RNAcentral lists this ribosomal RNA (229 nucleotides) under uncultured bacterium. RNAcentral's name for it is "partial 16S ribosomal RNA". It matches the Rfam family "Bacterial small subunit ribosomal RNA", at positions 57 to 305 of the family's 1533-position model. The record is from RNAcentral.